AAUGAACGCUGGUGGCAGACCUAACACAUGCAAGUCGAACGAUUUAUAAAAACUUCGGUUUUUAUAAAGAGUGGCAAACGGGUGAGUAAUGCAUGGGAAAUUGCCUUGAUGUGGGGGAUAACCAUUGGAAACGAUGGCUAAUACCGCAUGAUGCCUACGGGCCAAAGAGGGGGACCUUCGGGCCUCUCGCGUCAAGAUAUGCCUAGGUGGGAUUAGCUAGUUGGUGAGGUAAUGGCUCACCAAGGCGACGAUCCCUAGCUGGUCUGAGAGGAUGAUCAGCCACACUGGAACUGAGACACGGUCCAGACUCCUACGGGAGGCAGCAGUGGGGAAUAUUGCACAAUGGGCGCAAGCCUGAUGCAGCCAUGCCGCGUGUAUGAAGAAGGCCUUCGGGUUGUAAAGUACUUUCAGUCGUGAGGAAGGUGGUUGCGUUAAUAGCGUAA
Molecule: ribosomal RNA, 443 nt
Filed under: uncultured bacterium
Lineage: Bacteria
Description: bacterial SSU rRNA
Rfam family: Bacterial small subunit ribosomal RNA
Source: RNAcentral